AAGAGAGUGAAGGAGCUUCCUUCAGCCCACGCAUGGGUUCGGGGGAUUGAAGGGUUGCUGAAGCAUCUGCUGACUCAUUCAUACACACAGAAUAGUGAUUCAAAUUGCUAAGGUAAUUGUGUGAAUGAAGCAGGAGAUAUUUUGCAUCCCUCUUUCUUUGUGCUUGGACUGAAGGGGAGCUCCUUCUUUCUGUUGC
This is a non-coding RNA of Glycine soja, 196 nucleotides long. The record is from Rfam. Lineage: Eukaryota; Viridiplantae; Streptophyta; Magnoliopsida; Fabales; Fabaceae.